Molecule: transfer RNA, 43 nt
Filed under: Praxelis clematidea
Lineage: Eukaryota; Viridiplantae; Streptophyta; Magnoliopsida; Asterales; Asteraceae
Description: partial tRNA-Phe
Source: RNAcentral
UCGGGAUAGCUCAGUUGGUAGAGCAGAGGACUGAAAAUCUCUU